RNAcentral lists this ribosomal RNA (484 nucleotides) under uncultured bacterium. RNAcentral's name for it is "partial 16S ribosomal RNA". It matches the Rfam family "Bacterial small subunit ribosomal RNA", at positions 30 to 507 of the family's 1533-position model. The record is from RNAcentral.
AUUGAACGCUGGCGGCAGGCCUAACACAUGCAAGUCGAGCGGAUGAAGGGAGCUUGCGCCUGGAUUCAGCGGCGGACGGGUGAGUAAUGCCUAGGAAUCUGCCUGGUAGGGGGGGAUAACGUCCGGAAACGGGCGCUAAUACCGCAUACGUCCUGAGGGAGAAAGAGGGGGAGCUUCGGACAUCACGCUAUCAGAUGAGCCUAGGUCGGAUUAGCUAGCUGGUGGGGUAAAGGCCUACCAAGGCGACGAUCCGUGACUGGUCUGAGAGGGUGGUUAGUCACCCUGGAACUGAGACACGGUCCAGACUCCUACGGGAGGCAGCAGUGGGGAAUAUUGGACAAUGGGCGAAAGCCUGAUCCAGCCAGGCCGCGUGUGUGAAGAAGGUCUUCGGAUUGUAAAGCAGUUUAAGUUGGGAGGAAGGGCAGUAAGUUAAUACCUUGCUGUUUUGACGUUACCAACAGAAUAAGCACCGGCUAACUUCGUG